This 110-nucleotide small nuclear RNA is filed under the name Catagonus wagneri (Chacoan peccary). Lineage: Eukaryota; Metazoa; Chordata; Mammalia; Artiodactyla; Tayassuidae. The record is from RNAcentral.
GUGCUCAUUUCAUCAGCAGCACCUAUACUAAAACUGGAAUGAUACAGAGAAGAUUAGCAUGGCCCCUGAGCAAGGAUGACAUGCAAAUACGAGAAGGGUUCCAUAUUUUU